RNAcentral lists this ribosomal RNA (186 nucleotides) under Triticum aestivum (bread wheat). RNAcentral's name for it is "partial small subunit ribosomal RNA". Lineage: Eukaryota; Viridiplantae; Streptophyta; Magnoliopsida; Poales; Poaceae. The record is from RNAcentral.
AUGCCUAAUAUACUUAGUUUAACAUGUAUCUGUUUUAAUUAUAUUCUUUAUCCUACUAGUUUUUUUUUUGCCAAAUUGCGUGAAGCUUAUGCUAUUUUCAAUCCAGUCGUGGAUAUUAUGCCUCUUAUACCUCUAUUCUUUUUUCUUUUAGCCUUUGUUUGGCAAGCUGUUGUAAGUUUUCCAUGA